GUAUCCUUUCCCACCCCCCGGAGGAGUUCUCCCCCUCCGCGGCCAUUUCCAUCCCAUAAUAUCCGCUUCCAUUCCCCCCCCUCCCCUCCUCCCCCAGUCUGCCUCCGUGGCCGCUCCCAGGCCACGCCCCAUUCCCUUUAGGCCACGCCCCCUUAUAUCCCUCCCGCGCGUGCGCCGCUGGCCCUCCCUUCCUCUUCCCGCGCUGUGCGCCGGAAGUGAUGGCCCUCGAGCGUUAGGGUGACCCGGAAGCAGAAGUGAGAGGGUAGACAGGCGCGUGUGAGCGAAGGAGCUGAAGUGGAGCGGAAAGGAACGGAGCCGCCAUGUGAGGGGGAGGAUGGGACCGGGGGGGCGGGCGGGGCGGGGGAGAGGGGUGCUGGAGGACUGGGAUGUCGGUAUCCUGGAGGACUGAGGUGCCAGGAUACUGAAAUGCUGGAGGACUGGGGUGCCAGGAUAUCGAGAUGUUGGAGGACUGGGGUGCUGGAGGACCCAGGUGCCAGGAUACUGGGAUGCUGGAGGACUGGGAUGCUGGAGGUUUGGGGUGCCAGAAGACUGAAAUGCUGGAGGAUUGGGGUGUUGGGAUGUUGGGAUCCUGCAGGAUUGGGGUGCCAGAAUGCCAAGAUGCUGGAGGACUGGGGUGCUGGGGUGCUGGAGGACUGGGGUGCCAAGAUAUUGAGAUGUUGGAGGACUGGGGUGCUGGAGGACCCAGGUGCCAGGAGAUUGGGAUGCUGGAGGACUGGGAUGCUGGAGGACUGGGGUGCCAGGAUACCAAAUGCUGGAGAACUGGAUUACCAGGAUGUUGGAGGACUGGGUUGUUGGGAUGCUGGAGGACUGGGGUGCUGGAGGACCGAGGUGCCGGGAUAUUGAGAUGCUGGAGGACUGGGAUGCUGUGGUUUUGGGGUGCUGGGUGA
Molecule: long non-coding RNA, 908 nt
Filed under: Meleagris gallopavo (turkey)
Lineage: Eukaryota; Metazoa; Chordata; Aves; Galliformes; Phasianidae
Description: lncRNA (ENSMGAG00000021345.1)
Source: RNAcentral